GCUGCAACGGCUUCCUGAAGCAGUAUCAUAUUCAUCGGAGCA
RNAcentral lists this small RNA (42 nucleotides) under unclassified sequences. Its description in RNAcentral is "SAM-SAH-Weickhmann-2018 RNA". It matches the Rfam family "SAM/SAH riboswitch aptamer". The record is from RNAcentral.